RNAcentral lists this ribosomal RNA (326 nucleotides) under uncultured eukaryote. RNAcentral describes it as "partial 18S ribosomal RNA". It matches the Rfam family "Eukaryotic small subunit ribosomal RNA", at positions 1470 to 1796 of the family's 1831-position model. The record is from RNAcentral.
CCCUUAGAUGUUCUGGGUCGCACGCGCGCUACACUGAUGCAUUCAACGAGCCUAGCCUUGACCGAGAGGUCCGGGUAAUCUUUGAAACUGCAUCGUGAUGGGGCUAGAUUAUUGCAAUUAUUAAUCUUCAACGAGGAAUGCCUAGUAAGCGUGAUUCAUCAAAUCGCGUUGAUUACGUCCCUGCCCUUUGUACACACCGCCCGUCGCUCCUACCGAUUGAGUGUGUUGGUGAGGAGUUUGGAUUGGCCUCGGAAGGUGGUUCGCCACCGUCCGUAGCUGAGAAGUUCUCCAAACCGCCCCACUUAGAGGAAGGAGAAGUCGUAACA